GACGAACGCUGGCGGCGUGCCUAACACAUGCAAGUCGAGCGGGAACCUCAGGAGGGGUAACCCUUCUGAGGGGAGAGCGGCGAACGGGUGAGUAACACGUGGGCAACCCUGCCCCGGACGACCGGGAGUAACCCACGGGAAACCGUGAGCUAAUACCGGAUACUCCGGCGCGAUCGCAUGGUCGUGCCGGGAAAGCUCCGACGGUCCGGGAUGGGCCCGCGGCCUAUCAGCUUGUUGGUGGGGUAACGGCCCACCAAGGCGACGACGGGUAGCUGGUCUGAGAGGACGGCCAGCCACACUGGGACUGAGACACGGCCCAGACUCCUACGGGAGGCAGCAGUGGGGGAUCUUGCGCUAAUGCGCGAAAGCGUGACGCAGCGACGCCGCGU
RNAcentral lists this ribosomal RNA (389 nucleotides) under uncultured bacterium. RNAcentral's name for it is "bacterial SSU rRNA". It matches the Rfam family "Bacterial small subunit ribosomal RNA", at positions 28 to 402 of the family's 1533-position model. The record is from RNAcentral.